Molecule: RNA transcript, 2407 nt
Organism: Ipomoea triloba (trilobed morning glory)
Lineage: Eukaryota; Viridiplantae; Streptophyta; Magnoliopsida; Solanales; Convolvulaceae
Gene name: tRNA (guanine(37)-N1)-methyltransferase 1
Exons: 11
Source: RefSeq, a predicted model, not a curated record
CCGGCCGUUAACCGGCAUCUCUAUCUCCGGCGAUGAUUCUCACCAAAUUCGUUUGCCGGACGUAUUCUCUGCCCUUCUGCUUCCUCUCUCCUCCGCGAUUCUUCCCCAAGACCCAAAUUCUGUUUCAUUUCUCCACUGCUUCCGCCUUCUCAUCGGCCACCGUUGCAGUCCAAUCAACUCCCUGCAAAGCUCUGCAUUAUGGUCCAUCCCUUCACAAAGGGCGAAAGCUCCCUCAAUUUCAAUCUCCAAUUGUUCCUAGCUCACUGGAACUGAAUUCUUCGUUUGAGGAAGAGAGCUUCACUCGAGUCUUCGACAUUGCGGCUUUGCGAGUCCCCUCCGACCUCUGCUCCUCCCUUGAAAGCAGGCUUCGAGGUCACCUCCUCAACUGGCCCCGCAUUCGCAACGUUGCUAGGGUUCCGGGAGAUGAAAUUGAAGACGAGCUCAAGGAAUUUCUCGUGAACCGUUCAAAUUCAGAAGCCGACGGUGAUUCCCUAGUGAAUUUGCAGCGCAGGAUUUAUGGAAAGGCCGAGGGAGACGGGGAGAGAUUAAGUCCGGUGUUGUAUAGAGAUAAGCUCUCCAAAACUUUUAAUUCUAAAGGGUUUGUGAACUUCAGGAAUUUAGCUAAGAUUUCUAGGCCAAAGGAGAGGAAGAAAAGGGGGGAUGAGAAGGAGAGAGAGAAGAAAGGGGUCGGGAAAAACGAGAUGGCUUUGAUUGAGGUAGUUGAAACAGAGGUGACUGGAGAUGAGGAUAUGCGUGGGCUAUUGGGGGAUGAGUUUAAAGGAGGAAAGUGGAGAGGCUCAACUAGGUUGCUACUUUUGGACGAGCACUGUGCCAAUAAGGGGUUCGAUGAAAUGCCUGAAGCAAUCAAGGCAGUGUUUAGAGAACAUAGUGAGACAACAGAAAGACCUGCUCUUGAGAUUGUGAAAUGCAAGUUGACAUUGUUUUACCCUUAUUGGCAGAUGGAUGAGGUCUUAGAAGCUAUACUUCCAGAAGGGAUGAUUGUUCCUUCAUCCUUUGAAACAGUUGGGCAUAUUGCACAUCUGAACCUGAGAGAUGAACAUCUUCCCUAUAAAAAACUUAUUGCCAAGGUAGUUUUAGACAAAAACAAGGCAAGGAUACAAACAGUUGUUAAUAAAAUUGAUGCCAUACACAGUGACUACAGGACAAUGCAGCUUGAAAUUUUGGCUGGAAACCACUCUCUUGUCACAAGAGUGAUUGAAAAUGGAGUUCAUUUUCAUGUUGAUUUAGCAACAGUAUAUUGGAAUUCUAGGUUGGCAACUGAAAGGCAGAGGCUUCUUAGUUCCUUUACACAUGAUGAUGUUGUUUGUGAUGUUUUUGCUGGGGUUGGCCCACUUGCAAUAUCGGCUGCCAAGAAGGUCAAAUAUGUAUAUGCUAAUGAUUUAAACCCUCAAGCUGUUGAGUAUAUGGAAAGAAACUGUGUUCUCAAUAAACUUGAGAGGAAAAUUGAGGUAUAUAACAUGGAUGGAAGGAGGUUCAUUGGCACUAUUUUUUCUAGCCAAAAAACUCGGAUCAUCACACAAGUAGUAAUGAAUUUGCCAAAUGAUGCUGUGGAUUUUCUAGAUGUAUUUAGGGGACUAUUCAGGGAGAACCAUAAGUAUAAGGAUUCUACCUUACCAAGGAUCCAUGUGUAUGGGUUUUCAAAAGCUCAAGAUCCAGAAUUCGACUUUCACGAGCGAAUUAGAAUUGCUUUGUCAGAAGUAGCCUUUGAGGUCGAAAUGCGAAGUGUACGUGCUGUUGCACCUGGAAAGUGGAUGUUGUGCGCAUCAUUUGUCCUCCCUGAGAGAGUGGCAUUUGGAAGAGCAGUGUGAAAUCUGUAAGGUGCAACACCAGAGAUGUAAGUUACAAAAGCCACUCACUCAGGUAAUAUAUAUGAAGAUCAGAUAAUCUGGGCAUGCAUUAUGUAGACACAAGAAGUAACAUACCCCAACACAAGUUAAUUAUCUGUGGACUGAACCAUCAUCACCAGAAAAUUGAAGUUGACAGGGACAACAAGUGUAUACCGUGAACCAAUGAAGAUCAUGCAAACCCAACAACCCUUAAUUGUUCCCUCUUUUCACCUUUGCUUUAUUUUUAUCCUUUUUGACCUUAAAACUUUCAGGACAAUGACAUUUGUUACUGGGACAUUAACUGAGGAGCCCACAGGCUUUUGGAAAUGGAGAAAGGAGGGCAGUAUAUUGACAUGAUUACAAUCCUAAGCUACCUAGCUACUCCAAUGAAUACAUACAUGUAACAUCAUAGCCUGAUUCCCUAGAGCUGCAGGCAAGCACUAAAAUCCUCUUUUACUUUCUUGAAUUCUUUCAAAUUUCAAUACAUGCAUAUAUAUAUGCCCAAUUUUUUUCAUUGAAACAUGGCUAAAUAUAAUGAAUAUUCAUUCAUGUUUGUAAUC